GACAGAGAGCGGAGAGUUAGUUUCCGGUUAGCUAUUCCGUGAGAAUGACGUGAGUGCAGGAGUGCAAUUAGUUAUCCUCAAUCAUCUUGAUUUUGGUUUGAGUUGAGAUCGUCCGGGAUGGAUUUUAUUGCUUUAUAGCAUGGAUAUUUUAUCUGGAGAAGAGUUGGUGGUUUUAUUUUGAUGUUCCGAGCCUAUCUUUUAUUUGUGCUGGUUCACAUUCUAUAAUGCUCUGGAACUGUUUGUGAUGAACCCGAUGUCCACUGUUGUGAUGCCUGAAUGGAUCCCAGUGAUUAUUUUACACCAUAUCGGGUUCUAGGUUAUAUUUUAACCUCCACAUGUGUUUCAUGGUUAUGUUUCCAUGUGUUCAUGAUUUGUUUGGCUUUGCCAUUCUUUCCCGUUACGGUGAUUUCUUGAGGCUUACUGCUGUACAUCAUGCGUCAAGAUUAUUUCCCUGCAUUCAUGUAUUUUUGUUUGUAUGCUGCGACUAGUCUGUUUUACUGCAGUAUUUUAUAGAACCGAUGUGGGUUCUGCUUGGAUCGUUAUGAUCUUCUAACUUAGUUAUUAAUGUUCUGAAUUCUCUAGUUUUGCUAGAACUAUUUUGAUAAUGUUGGUUUGCAUUUGAACCAUUUACAUUGAGUUGAGAUUGAGAGAGUUUGAGUUGGAACUUUAUUGUUCUAUUAAUUGAGUGUUCGGCUGUGAUU
This is a long non-coding RNA of Frankliniella occidentalis (western flower thrips), 701 nucleotides long. RefSeq lists it as uncharacterized. The transcript has 3 exons. Lineage: Eukaryota; Metazoa; Arthropoda; Insecta; Thysanoptera; Thripidae. The record is from RefSeq and is a predicted model, not a curated record.